GCCGAAAUAGCUCAGUUCGGAGAGCGUUAGACUGAAGAUCUAAAGUGCCCUGGUUCGAUCCAGGGUUUCGGCA
This 73-nucleotide transfer RNA is filed under the name Rhipicephalus sanguineus (brown dog tick). Its description in RNAcentral is "transfer RNA phenylalanine (anticodon GAA)". It matches the Rfam family "tRNA". Rfam says of the family: Transfer RNA (tRNA) molecules are approximately 80 nucleotides in length. Their secondary structure includes four short double-helical elements and three loops (D, anti-codon, and T loops). Further hydrogen bonds mediate the characteristic L-shaped molecular structure. tRNAs have two regions of fundamental functional importance: the anti-codon, which is responsible for specific mRNA codon recognition, and the 3' end, to which the tRNAs corresponding amino acid is attached (by aminoacyl-tRNA synthetases). tRNAs cope with the degeneracy of the genetic code in two manners: having more than one tRNA (with a specific anti-codon) for a particular amino acid; and 'wobble' base-pairing, i.e. permitting non-standard base-pairing at the 3rd anti-codon position. The record is from Rfam by way of RNAcentral. Lineage: Eukaryota; Metazoa; Arthropoda; Arachnida; Ixodida; Ixodidae.